GGACCAAGGAGUCUAGCAUGUGCGCGAGUCAUUGGGACCGCAUCUAAACCUAAAGGCGAAAUGAAAGUAAAGGCCGCCUUCGGGCGCGCCAAGGGAGGAUGGGCCUGCGUUCGGCUUCGGACGACGCGACCCCGCACUCCCGGGGCGUCUCGUGCUCAUCGCGAGUUGAGGCGCACCCAAAGCGUACACGCUGGGACCC
This 199-nucleotide ribosomal RNA is filed under the name Osorius sp. 1 BT-2011. Its description in RNAcentral is "partial 28S ribosomal RNA". It matches the Rfam family "Eukaryotic large subunit ribosomal RNA", at positions 663 to 817 of the family's 3401-position model. The record is from RNAcentral. Lineage: Eukaryota; Metazoa; Arthropoda; Insecta; Coleoptera; Staphylinidae.